RNAcentral lists this ribosomal RNA (484 nucleotides) under uncultured bacterium. Its description in RNAcentral is "bacterial SSU rRNA". It matches the Rfam family "Bacterial small subunit ribosomal RNA", at positions 28 to 507 of the family's 1533-position model. The record is from RNAcentral.
GAUGAACGCUAGCGGGAGGCUUAACACAUGCAAGUCGAGGGGCAGCACUGAUAGCAAUAUUAGGUGGCGACCGGCGGACGGGUGAGUAACGCGUAUGCAACCUACCCUUUACAGGGGGAGUAGCCCGGAGAAAUUCGGAUUAAUACCCCAUAGAUCAGUGAUUCUGCAUGGGAUUACUGGUAAAGCUUCGGCGGUAAAGGAUGGGCAUGCGUCCCAUUAGCUAGUUGGUAGGGUAACGGCCUACCAAGGCAACGAUGGGUACGGGGUCUUAAAGGAUGGACCCGCACACUGGCACUGAGACACGGGCCAGACUCCUACGGGAGGCAGCAGUGAGGAAUAUUGGUCAAUGGGGGGAACCCUGAACCAGCCAUCCCGCGUGCAGGAAGACAGUUCUAUGGAUUGUAAACUGCUUUUCUUGGGAAGAAUAAUGACGACGUGUCGUCAGAUGACGGUACCCGAGGAAUAAGCAUCGGCUAACUCCGUG